AGCUAUGUGUGGACGGGAUAAGUGCUGAAAGCAUCUAAGCAUGAAGCCCCCCUCAAGAUGAGAUUUCCCAUUACGCAAGUAAGUAAGAUCCCUCAAAGACGAUGAGGUAGAUAGGUUCGAGGUGGAAGUGUGGUGACACAUGGAGCUGACGAAUACUAAUCGAUCGAGGACUUAACCA
This 178-nucleotide ribosomal RNA is filed under the name Lysinibacillus fusiformis. Its description in RNAcentral is "23S rRNA. Bacterial LSU". It matches the Rfam family "Bacterial large subunit ribosomal RNA", at positions 2747 to 2925 of the family's 2925-position model. Lineage: Bacteria; Bacillati; Bacillota; Bacilli; Caryophanales; Bacillaceae. The record is from RNAcentral.